Molecule: ribosomal RNA, 441 nt
Filed under: uncultured bacterium
Lineage: Bacteria
Description: partial 16S ribosomal RNA
Rfam family: Bacterial small subunit ribosomal RNA
Source: RNAcentral
CCUACGGGUGGCAGCAGUGGGGAAUAUUGCACAAUGGGCGGAACCCUGAUGCAGCGACGCCGCGUGGGUGAAGGAGUAUUUCGGUACGUAAAGCCCUAUCAGCAGGGAAGAACAAUGACGGUACCAAACUAAGAAGCACCGGCUAAAUACGUGCCAGCAGCAGCGGUAAAACGUAGGGUGCAAGCGUUAUCCGGAUGUACUGGGUGUAAAGGGAGCGCAGGCGGCGCGUUAAGCCUGGUGUGAAAGCCCGCGGCCCAACCGGGGGACUGCAUUGGGAACUGGCGAGCUGGAGUGCCGGAGGGGAAGGCGGAAUUCCUAGUGUAGCGGUGAAAUUCGUAGAUAUUAGGAGGAACAUCAGUGGCGAAGGCGGCCUACUGGACGGUAACUGACGCUGAGGAGCGAAAGCGUGGGGAGCAAACAGGAUUAGAUACCCGUGUAGUC